This is a long non-coding RNA of Bombina bombina (fire-bellied toad), 236 nucleotides long. RefSeq lists it as uncharacterized. The record is from RefSeq and is a predicted model, not a curated record. Lineage: Eukaryota; Metazoa; Chordata; Amphibia; Anura; Bombinatoridae. The transcript is spliced from 2 exons.
AUUACGUGGACCCCUAACUCAAGAGGAGAAGAAUAGAAAGAGAUUGAAUCAUCUCUGCAUGUAUUGUGGUUCUAAAGAACAUAUUCUGAGAGACUGCCCUAAUCUUCUAAAACAGAAGUCAGUGGGAUCAAAGACGAUUGAAUAUUGAGGCCAUCGUGGAUACUGGGGCAACUGGUUGUUAUAUAGACAUAAGUUUAAUUGAAAAAAAUAAAAUACCACAUAUAGCAAAAGAAAAA